Sapajus apella (tufted capuchin) is the source of this 2187-nucleotide long non-coding RNA. RefSeq lists it as uncharacterized. NCBI's taxonomy places the organism in Eukaryota, Metazoa, Chordata, Mammalia, Primates, Cebidae. The transcript is spliced from 2 exons. The record is from RefSeq and is a predicted model, not a curated record.
GUGAUCUUUUCAUAACACAUAAAAUUUAAAUACAUUUAAUAUGGGUUACAAAAUGGUUAGGUUGGUUUUUUAAAAAAACUUAAACAUCUUAUGUUAGUGAUCAUUUGCUAAACUAAAUGCUUUUUAGAAAAAAUUUAAACCAUGUGGAAGUCAAUAAAGUACAAAUCAAAUUGGGGAUCAGUAUCUUUGUAGCAGUGUGUGCUGUCCACUAGAAUGUUCCAUGAUUAUGGAAAUGUUGUAUAUCUGUGCUAUUCAACAUGGUAACCACUAGUCACAUUUGGCUUUGGUCAUUUGAGGUGUGGCUAGUGCAACUGAUGAAUUUCAACAUUUUGUUUGAUUUUAAUUAAAUUGUAAUAGCCAUAUAUAAUUAGCAUUUAUGAUUAAGUACAGCUUAGGUUUAUUGUAAAAUUUUACAUUUCUCCUUAUAUGUUUAUUUUUUUAAAAAGGUAUCUUUCAAAUAAUCUAUUGUGUGUAUGGUAUGUUUUUCCAUAGCAUUCUCGAUUAUUGGUGGUGGUCAGAAAUGCUACUUAAGUUUGAAUAUUUUCUCUUACUUGACUACCUUGUGACCCACAUUAAAAGAAAGUCUUUGGUUAUUCUGCUUCUCUCUUUCAGAGUCCUAAAUUCUUGGAAUAUAAGUAAAUUGCUAUUUGAGUCUUUAUGUCAUUUCACAUAUUAAGUGACUGUUCCUGAGUUGCUCUGGGGCUUCCUCAAAAAACAACCUAAAUUAUGGAUCCUAAAUGAACACAGAGUACUUUCCUUCAUUUUGCCGAUAUGAGAUGCUGUUCUUUGGGUUCUUUGAUGUUCAAACCUAACUUUGAAUGUUGAAGGAAAUGGUACUUCUCAGGAUGCCUAAACAUGGAUUCUUUUUAAACAGUUCAUUUCACAGCUCAACACACACUUUUUGGAGCACAUGCUUUAUGGUUACUGGGAAUACAAUGUUAAAUAACUGUUUUGCCUUUAAGCAGCUUGUAGUCUAAUUGAGGAGACAGAUGUGGAAAGAAAUCACUUACUUCUUCCCAGUGGCAUUAUAAAAUAGAGGUUAAGAGUAUGCCCUGGAGCUGUGUGACCUUGUUUAUCUAUGGAAGCUCAGUUUCCUUGUGACUAAAAUAAGGAUAUUAGGGUUCUUGUGAGGAUUGAGUGAGAUUAUUUGUAUGUUUGGUGUAUGUUAGCUAAUAUUAUUGGCUACUGAGGAGGUUGAAAUGUCUCAUGCCACUAUUAUUGGCAGUGGAGAGCACUUGAGAGAGAUUUAAGCAGGCAGAUGACAUGGUUGGAUUCACAUUUUAGGAUUAUGUGAAUUGCUGUUUCUGUACUGGAUCAAUAGAUUUGAGGAGGCUGUAGUGAUAAACCUGUUGAGAAAUGAUGACCUGAUCACUGUAGUUAUGAUAGAAUGGUUGGGAGAGAGAGUGUAAUAAUACUUUAGUGUUAUCCAGGUAAGACUUGAUUGAUUUAAUGAAGAGAAUAAAGGAGUCAGAGAUAACAUUUGAAUUUUUGACUUUGGUGUCUGAAUGAUGGCGGCAUUUACAACUGAGUUAUGGAGUGUAGGCGGAGGAUGUGGAAGAGGAGGUUGAGAGAGUGCAUUGAAUUUUGUUCAUGCUUGAGAUGACUGUGAUAUCCAGGUAGGCAUAUUCAGUUGGAUUUAUGUUUUUUUGUCAGGUAGAAGAGUCACGGCUGGACUCCUUUUGUUUUUGGAGACAGGGUCUAGCAUGCUGUAUUGCCCAGUCUGGAUGCAGUGAGUGGUGCUGUCAUACCCUCACUGUAGUCUCCUGGGCUCAAGUGAUUUUCUUACCUCAGCCUCCUGAGUAGCUGUGACUACAGGCAUGUGCCCCACUAUGCCCAGCUAAUUUAAACAAAUUUAUGUUUUAGAGAUGGAUCUCACUAUGUUGCCCAUGCUGGUCUUGAACUCCUCUCACCUUGGCCUCCCAAAGUGCUGGGAUUACACUUGUGAGCUACAGUGCCUCACCUUGACUCUUUAACUGUACUUAAUUGUACAUCGUUAGACACAAUAUUCAAUAAAUGGUAACCAUUAUUAGCACUGUUUUUUAUUUAUUAUGAAGGUGGUAUUUAAAGCAACUAAUAGAUGAGUCUUUCUAAAAAAAAAAAAAAAGUAAAAAGUAAAAGGAGAAGUGGGCUAGAAGGUAGAACAUUUAAUAGAUGGAUAGAUAAAGAGUGACUAUAGAAUGAGAUUAA